GACGAACGCUGGCGGCGUGCUUAACACAUGCAAGUCGAACGGAAAGGCCCUGCUUGCCGGGUGCUCGAGUGGCGAACGGGUGAGUAACACGUGGGUGAUCUGCCCCUUACUUUGGGAUAAGCCUGGGAAACUGGGUCUAAUACUGGAUAGGACCAUGCUGUAGGUGGUGUGGUGGAAAGAUUAGUUUCGGUAAGGGAUGAGCUCGCGGCCUAUCAGCUUGUUGGUGGGGUAAUGGCCUACCAAGGCGUCGACGGGUAGCCGGCCUGAGAGGGUGGACGGCCACAUUGGGACUGAGAUACGGCCCAGACUCCUACGGGAGGCAGCAGUGGGGAAUAUUGCACAAUGGGCGCAAGCCUGAUGCAGCGACGCCGCGUGGGGGCUGACGGCCUUCGGGUUGUAAACUCCUUUCAGCCAUGACGAAGCCCUUGUGGUGACGGUAGUGGUAGAAGAAGCACCGGCUAACUACGUG
RNAcentral lists this ribosomal RNA (469 nucleotides) under uncultured bacterium. Its description in RNAcentral is "partial 16S ribosomal RNA". It matches the Rfam family "Bacterial small subunit ribosomal RNA", at positions 28 to 507 of the family's 1533-position model. The record is from RNAcentral.